This 441-nucleotide ribosomal RNA is filed under the name uncultured bacterium. Its description in RNAcentral is "partial 16S ribosomal RNA". It matches the Rfam family "Bacterial small subunit ribosomal RNA", at positions 338 to 795 of the family's 1533-position model. The record is from RNAcentral.
CCUACGGGAGACAGCAGUGGGGAAUAUUGCACAAUGGGGGAAACCCUGACGCAGCGACGCCGCGUGAGCGAGGAAGUACUUCGGUAUGUAAAGCUCUAUCAGUAGGGACGAAAAAAGACGGUAUCUGACUAGGAUGCCCCGCCUAAAAACGCGCGCCCAGCCGCGGUAAUAUGCAGGGGGCACGCGUUAUCCGGGUUUACUGGGGGUAAAGGGAGCGUAGAGGGCAAGUCAAGCCAGAAGUGAAUGGUCAGGGCUUAACCCUGUGCAUGCUUUUGAAACUGGGGUGCUAGAGUGCAGGAGAGGUAAGUGGAAUUCCUAGUGUAGCGGUGAAAUGCGUAGAUAUUAGGAGGAACACCAGUGGCGAAGGCGGCUUACUGGACUGUAACUGACGUUGAGGCACGAAAGCGUGGGGAGCAAACAGGAUUAGAUACCCGUGUAGUC